Molecule: ribosomal RNA, 376 nt
Filed under: uncultured Glomus
Lineage: Eukaryota; Fungi; Glomeromycota; Glomeromycetes; Glomerales; Glomeraceae
Description: eukaryotic LSU rRNA
Source: RNAcentral
UUGAAAGGGAAACGAUUGAAGUCAGUCGUACCGACGAGAAUUCAACUCUUCAAGUGCGAACUUGUGGGCGUGCGUGAGCUUUAAAACCUCGCUGUUUUGCAACGUUUGUGCUUUUUGGGUGUACUUUUUCGCAUGGUAGGCCAACGUCAGUUUCGUUUACCAUAAAAUGACCGGAGGAAUGUAGCUUCGAUCUCGUAUUGAAGUGUUAUAGCCCCUGGUAGAUGUGGUAAACGAAACUGAGGAUUGCAACGAAUACCCUUUGGGCUAUCCGUCUGACCUCUGAAAGUUGCUUAGGUGCCGAGAGCAUGCUUACGGUUAUUUAAGUUGACGGUCAAUAGGUUAGAACGUGAUUAUAUUCGUUAAGGAUGUUGACGUA